Molecule: ribosomal RNA, 468 nt
Filed under: uncultured bacterium
Lineage: Bacteria
Description: partial 16S ribosomal RNA
Rfam family: Bacterial small subunit ribosomal RNA
Source: RNAcentral
GACGAACGCUGGCGGCGUGCUUAACACAUGCAAGUCGAACGGAAAGGCCCUGCUUUUGUGGGAUGCUCGAGUGGCGAACGGGUGAGUAACACGUGAGUAACCUGCCCUUGACUUUGGGAUAACUUCAGGAAACUGGGGCUAAUACCGGAUAUGAGCUCCUUCUGCAUGGUGGGGAUUGGAAAGUUGCGGCGGUUGGGGAUGGACGCGCGGCUUAUCAGCUUGUUGGUGGGGUAGUGGCUUACCACGGCGUGGACGGGUAGCCGGCCUGAGAGGGUGACCGGGCACAGUGGGACUGAGAUAGGGGCCAGACGGCUACGGGAGGCAGCAGCGGAGAACAGAGCACAAUGGGCCGAAUCCGUAUGCAGCAACUCCGGGUGGUGGAUGACUGUUUUCGGGGUGUAAACCGCUUUCGCCUGUGACGAAGCGUGAGUGACGGUAACGGGUAAAGAAGCAACGGCUAACUACGUG